AGUCCACCCCAGUGCUCCUCCCAGUCCAUCCCAGUGCUCCCAGUAUAUCCCCAGUGCUCCCAGUCCAUCCCAGUGCUCCCAGUAUAUCCCAGUCCUCCCAGUCCAUCCCAGUGCUCCACGUGUUCCCGGUGCUCCUCCCAGUCCUUCCCAGUCCAUCCCAGUAUAUCCCAGUCCAAUCCGGUCCACCCCAGUGCUCCAUGUGCUCCCAGUGCUCCUCCCAGUCCAUCCCAGUGCUCCCAGUCCAUCCCAGUAUAUCCCAGUCCACCCCAGUGCUCCCAGUAUAUCCCAGUGCUCCCAGUCCACCCCAGUACUCCCAGUUUAUCCCAGUACUCCCAGUUUAUCCCAGUGCUCCCAGUACACCCCAGUGCUCCCAGUUUAUCCCAGUGCUCCCAGUCCACCCCAGUACUCCCAGUUUAUCCCAGUGCUCCCAGUUUAUCCCAGUGCCUCCCAGUCCACCCCAGUGCUCCACGUGUUCCCCGUGCUCCUCCCAGUCCAUCCCAGUGCUCCCAGUCCAUCCCAGUGCCUCCCAGUAUAUCCCAGUCCUCCCAGUAUAUCCCAGUGCUCCACAUGCUCCCGGUGCUCCUCCCAGUCCAUUCCAGUGCUCCCAGUUUAUCCCAGUCCCUCCCAGUCCCUCCCAGUGCUCCAUGCGCUCCGGGUUCUCCUCCCAGUCCAUCCCAGUUUAUCCCAGUGCCUCCCAGUAUAUCCCAAUGCUCCAUGUGCUCCCGGUGCUCCUCCCAGUCCAUCCCAGUAUAUCCCAGUCCUCCCAGUAUAUCCCAGUGCUCCAUGUGGCCCUGGUGCUCCUCCCAGUCCAUCCCAGUGCUCCCAGUCCACCCCAGCGCCUCCCAGUAUAUCCCAGUGCCUCCCAGUAUAUCCCAGUCCAGUGCCUCCCAGUAUAGCUUGACACUCCCAGUCCAUCCCAGUAUAUCCCAGUCCUCCCAGUAUAUCCCAGUCCUCCCAGUAUAUCCCAGUGCUCCAUGUGGCCCUGGUGCUCCUCCCAGUCCAUCCCAGUACUCCCAGUAUAUCCCAGUCCAUCCUCGCGUAUCCCAGUGCUCCCAGUUUUCCCAGUCCAUCCCAGUGCUUCCCAGUAUAUCCCAGUCCAGUGCCUCCCAGUAUAUCCCAGUAUCUCCCAGUCCAUUGCAGUCCAUCCCAGUGCUCCCAGUCCGUUCCAGUAAAUCCCAGUUCACCCCAGUCCAUCCCAGUGCUCCCAGUAACGACUCCCAGACCUCCCAAUCCAUCCCAGUCCCUCCCAGUUCUCCCAGUAACCAUUCCAUGUCCUUCCAGUUCAUCCCAGCGCUCCCAGUAACGGCUCCCAGUCCCUCCCAGUGCUCCCAGUAACAACUCCCAGUCCUCCCAGUACUCCCAGUUCUCCCAGUCUGUCCCAGCUCUCCCAGUAACAUCUCCCAGUCCAUCCCAACCCAUCCCAGUGCUCCCAGUAACGGCUCCCAGUCUGUCCCAGUCCGUCCCAGUGUUCCCAGU
Molecule: long non-coding RNA, 1476 nt
Filed under: Numida meleagris (helmeted guineafowl)
Lineage: Eukaryota; Metazoa; Chordata; Aves; Galliformes; Numididae
Description: lncRNA (ENSNMEG00000000294.1)
Source: RNAcentral